GUUGUGCUGCGUGAGGGAUAGCAGUGGAAAUCCUUUUUUGGCCCUUUUUUUUGGGCCAAAAAAGAUUGAAACGAAUAGCCCGACCCGAA
Flavobacterium branchiophilum FL-15 is the source of this 89-nucleotide small RNA. It matches the Rfam family "Flavo-1 RNA". Lineage: Bacteria; Pseudomonadati; Bacteroidota; Flavobacteriia; Flavobacteriales; Flavobacteriaceae. The record is from Rfam.